Molecule: long non-coding RNA, 320 nt
Filed under: Elaeis guineensis (African oil palm)
Lineage: Eukaryota; Viridiplantae; Streptophyta; Magnoliopsida; Arecales; Arecaceae
Description: long non-coding RNA (EGUI_LNC029735)
Source: RNAcentral
GAGUCCCCAAGUCAACCUCUUUGUGAUGGGCCAUCAUACAUUAUUAAAGCAUGGAAUCAAACUUGAUGUGACUGUAAUGCCAUUCUAGAAUAUUAAGAUUUAAGAGUCCACCAUGCCAAAUCAUGAUGAACUUUAGUACAGACAACCUGGUUUUUAUAAAGAUGGCGGUAAAAAAAACCAUUUUAUGAUGAGAUUUCUUAGACGACAUCAAAUGCAUAUGGAAGAAGUUACUGAUAAACUAUCAGAACAAAAUUAAAAGAAUCAACUACUUAAAUCGAUAAAUUUGUGAUCGAUCGUUACCAUAACUCAAUGCCGCCUGC